CUGCUGCCUCCCGUAGGAGUUUGGUCCGUGUCUCAGUACCAAUGUGGGGGGUUAACCUCUCAGUCCCCCUAUGUAUCGUCGCCUUGGUAAGCCGUUACCUUACCAACCAGCUAACACAACGCAUGCCCAUCUGUAACCGCCGAAACUUUCAACCACAAGAGAUGCCUCUCAUAGUGUUAUGCGGUAUUAGUACCGAUUUCUCAGUGUUAUCCCCCUGUUACAGGUAGGUUGCAUACGCGUUACGCACCCGUGCGCCGGUCGCCA
RNAcentral lists this ribosomal RNA (264 nucleotides) under uncultured bacterium. Its description in RNAcentral is "partial 16S ribosomal RNA". The record is from RNAcentral.